RNAcentral lists this ribosomal RNA (269 nucleotides) under uncultured Glomus. Its description in RNAcentral is "partial 18S ribosomal RNA". It matches the Rfam family "Eukaryotic small subunit ribosomal RNA", at positions 548 to 822 of the family's 1831-position model. Lineage: Eukaryota; Fungi; Glomeromycota; Glomeromycetes; Glomerales; Glomeraceae. The record is from RNAcentral.
UUGGAGGGCAAGUCUGGUGCCAGCAGCCGCGGUAAUUCCAGCUCCAAUAGCGUAUAUUAAAGUUGUUGCAGUUAAAAAGCUCGUAGUUGAAUUUCGGGGUCAGUAGGUUGGUCGUGCCACCGGUACGUACUGGUCUCACUGAUUCCUCCUUCCUGAUGAGCUGUAAUGCCAUUAAUUUGGUGUUGCGGGGAAUCUGGACUGUUACUUUGAAAAAAUUAGUGUGUUUAAAGCAGGCUAACGCUUGAAUACAUUAGCAUGGAAUAAUGAAA